This 231-nucleotide long non-coding RNA is filed under the name Elaeis guineensis (African oil palm). Its description in RNAcentral is "long non-coding RNA (EGUI_LNC008317)". Lineage: Eukaryota; Viridiplantae; Streptophyta; Magnoliopsida; Arecales; Arecaceae. The record is from RNAcentral.
ACUCGAAAGAAGACACAAAAGUAAUGAAGAGAGGGGAAGCCCCUAGGCGGUGAGAAGAAGGUUGGCACUAACCUAUAUUGCUCUGGGGACCUGGGGAGCGAGAAACGGGAGGCGCCUACGGCUCGAGAAGACGUUCACUAGAGCAGGCUCUCGAAGAGAAGACAGACACCAGCAAAAACUCAGAAAUGGAGUAGGACGCCUGAAGGGGGGAGGACGGGUUUAAAUAGACCC